RNAcentral lists this ribosomal RNA (735 nucleotides) under uncultured Fusobacterium sp. RNAcentral's name for it is "bacterial SSU rRNA". It matches the Rfam family "Bacterial small subunit ribosomal RNA", at positions 28 to 776 of the family's 1533-position model. The record is from RNAcentral. Lineage: Bacteria; Fusobacteriati; Fusobacteriota; Fusobacteriia; Fusobacteriales; Fusobacteriaceae.
GAUGAACGCUGACAGAAUGCUUAACACAUGCAAGUCAACUUGAAUUUGGGUUUUUAACUUAGAUUUGGGUGGCGGACGGGUGAGUAACGCGUAAAGAACUUGCCUCACAGCUAGGGACAACAUUUAGAAAUGAAUGCUAAUACCUGAUAUUAUGAUUUUAAGGCAUCUUAGAAUUAUGAAAGCUAUAUGCGCUGUGAGAGAGCUUUGCGUCCCAUUAGCUAGUUGGAGAGGUAACGGCUCACCAAGGCGAUGAUGGGUAGCCGGCCUGAGAGGGUGAUCGGCCACAAGGGGACUGAGACACGGCCCUUACUCCUACGGGAGGCAGCAGUGGGGAAUAUUGGACAAUGGACCAAGAGUCUGAUCCAGCAAUUCUGUGUGCACGAUGAAGUUUUUCGGAAUGUAAAGUGCUUUCAGUUGGGAAGAAAAAAAUGACGGUACCAACAGAAGAAGUGACGGCUAAAUACGUGCCAGCAGCCGCGGUAAUACGUAUGUCACAAGCGUUAUCCGGAUUUAUUGGGCGUAAAGCGCGUCUAGGUGGUUAUAUAAGUCUGAUGUGAAAAUGCAGGGCUCAACUCUGUAUUGCGUUGGAAACUGUAUAACUAGAGUACUGGAGAGGUAAGCGGAACUACAAGUGUAGAGGUGAAAUUCGUAGAUAUUUGUAGGAAUGCCGAUGGGGAAGCCAGCUUACUGGACAGAUACUGACGCUGAAGCGCGAAAGCGUGGGUAGCAAACAGG